AAGUCGUAACAAGGUCUCCGUAGGUGAACCUGCGGAGGGAUCAUUACCGAGUUCAUGCCCUUACGGGUAGACCUCCCACCCUAUGUUAUAUUACCUUUGUUGCUUUGGCGGGCCGCCCGGCUUCGGCCAGGCUACCGGCUCCAGCUGGUAAGCGCUCGCCAGAGGACCCUCAACUCUGAAUAUCAGUGUCGUCUGAGUACUAUAAAAUAGUUAAAACUUUCAACAACGGAUCUCUUGGUUCUGGCAUCGAUGAAGAACGCAGCGAAAUGCGAUAAGUAAUGUGAAUUGCAGAAUUCAGUGAAUCAUCGAAUCUUUGAACGCACAUUGCGCCCCUUGGUAUUCCGAGGGGCAUGCCUGUUCGAGCGUCAUUACAACCCUCAAGCACUGCUUGGUAUUGGGCUCCGCUGGCUCCAGCGGGCCUUAAAAUCAGUGGCGGCGCCGUUUGGGCUCUGAGCGUAGUAAAUAUCCUCGCUAUAGAGACCAGGCGGUUCUUGUCAUCAACCCCCAACUUUCUAAGUUUGACCUCGGAUCAGGUAGGGAUACCCGCUGAACUUAAGCAUAUCAAUAAGCGGAGG
RNAcentral lists this ribosomal RNA (575 nucleotides) under uncultured fungus. RNAcentral describes it as "eukaryotic LSU rRNA". The stretch from base 215 to 368 matches the Rfam family "5.8S ribosomal RNA". Lineage: Eukaryota; Fungi. The record is from RNAcentral.